Gopherus flavomarginatus (Mexican gopher tortoise) is the source of this 199-nucleotide long non-coding RNA. RefSeq lists it as uncharacterized. The transcript is spliced from 3 exons. The record is from RefSeq and is a predicted model, not a curated record. Lineage: Eukaryota; Metazoa; Chordata; Testudines; Testudinidae.
GGAGAGGGCUGGACACAGCGGGCAGUGCCGAGUGGAGUUGGGGCUGGCUGGCAGUGUGCCAUGCUGGCAGGAGGGGAGAGGGCUGGACACAGCGGGCAGUGCCGAGCGGAGGUGGGGCUGGCUGGCACUGUGCCAUGCUGGGAGGAAGGGAGAGGGCUGGACACAGCGGGCAGUGCCGAGCGGAGGUGGGGCUGGCUGG